UGGGGAAUAUUGCACAAUGGGCGCAAGCCUGAUGCAGCCAUGCCGCGUGUGUGAAGAAGGCCUUCGGGUUGUAAAGCACUUUCAGCGAGGAGGAAGGGUAGUGUGUUAAUAGCACAUUGCAUUGACGUUACUCGCAGAAGAAGCACCGGCUAACUCCGUGCCAGCAGCCGCGGUAAUACGGAGGGUGCAAGCGUUAAUCGGAAUUACUGGGCGUAAAGCGCACGCAGGCGGUUUGUUAAGUCAGAUGUGAAAUCCCCGCGCUUAACGUGGGAACUGCAUUUGAAACUGGCAAGCUAGAGUCUUGUAGAGGGGGGUAGAAUUCCAGGUGUAGCGGUGAAAUGCGUAGAGAUCUGGAGGAAUACCGGUGGCGAAGGCGGCCCCCUGGACAAACACUGACGCUCAGGUGCGAAAGCGUGGGGAGCAAACA
RNAcentral lists this ribosomal RNA (427 nucleotides) under uncultured bacterium. RNAcentral's name for it is "partial 16S ribosomal RNA". It matches the Rfam family "Bacterial small subunit ribosomal RNA", at positions 355 to 774 of the family's 1533-position model. The record is from RNAcentral.